GAUGAACGCUGGCGGCGUGCCUAAUACAUGCAAGUCGAGCGAACGGAGGAGAAGCUUGCUUCUCUGAUGUUAGCGACGGACGGGUGAGUAACACGUGGAUAACCUACCUAUAAGACUGGGAUAACUGCGGUAAACCGGAGCUAAGACCGGAUUAUAUUUUGAACCGCAUGGUUCAAGAGUGAAAGACGGUCUUGCUGUCACUUAUAGAUGGAUCCGCGCUGCAUUAGCUAGUUGGUAAGGUAACGGCUUACCAAGGCAACGAUGCAUAGCCGAACUGAGAGGGUGAGCGGCCACACUGGAACUGAGACACGGUCCAGACUCCUACGGGAGGCAGCAGUAGGGAAUCUUCCGCAAUGGGCGAAAGCCUGACGGAGCAGCGCCGCGUGAGUGAUGAAGGUCUUCGGCUCGUAAAACUCUGUUAUUAGGGAAGAACAUAUGUGUAAGUACCUGUGCACAUCUUGACGGUACCUAAUCAGAAAGCCACGGCUAACUACGUG
This 497-nucleotide ribosomal RNA is filed under the name uncultured bacterium. Its description in RNAcentral is "partial 16S ribosomal RNA". It matches the Rfam family "Bacterial small subunit ribosomal RNA", at positions 28 to 507 of the family's 1533-position model. The record is from RNAcentral.